This 103-nucleotide transfer RNA is filed under the name Labrenzia sp. EL_159. Its description in RNAcentral is "tRNA-Thr". The record is from RNAcentral. Lineage: Bacteria; Pseudomonadati; Pseudomonadota; Alphaproteobacteria; Hyphomicrobiales; Stappiaceae. RNAcentral also lists the same sequence under 1 other name.
GCGCUCUUAGUGACCAAUGAACCUCAUAAACUAUUGAUUUUAUUGAAAGAGAAUGACAUUUGUAAUCUCGGGGUCGCGGGUUCGAAUCCUGCUGCCGGCACCA